AUGGCGGGGAAGGCUUUAAUCUCCUUCUCCAACUCCAAUUCCACUUUCCACCUUGAGGGAGAGAUUGAGCUCGUCAAUCAGGCAUUCCCGAUGCUUGAAGAUGGCGAACCACGCAUUCUAGAAUCCCAGGCGAUCUUGCCUCCUGUCAGGCCCGGCGAGGGGUCAAGCGGCCACCACGAUGGAUCGGCCGAACUGAUCGAACCCCGUUUUGGCCAUUCUGGUUCCCCGUUCGAUCGUGUGCUCACCUUUGCUGAGGAGGAUAAAAGGGAGCCUGUGGCUUUCCGUAUCCAUGGUGCACAAACACCCACAAGAUACGGGACGGUUCUAAUACUCACCAUCAUUCCCACUAAAAAGAUGAAGAUGGCGGCCUAUCAGGACUCCCCACCUAUCAGACGCCACAUAUCUCCACCUCUGAUCAAGAGGUUGACAGGAGAGUUCGAGAGUGAUGGAGAUAAAUAUCCACAUGAGCCUACGGUGGCUUGCUUAGCCUCCUCUAUUGCUCAGUUGCCCGCUGAGAACCGAAGGCUUAAAGACAACGUGGUAGAGGGACAUGUCGAGCUUGCCGAGCUCAAGGAUGACCUUGCUUCCCUCCUAUUGGUAUUUGGUAUGGCCACAGAUAAAUACUACUAAUGGUAUUUUA
RNAcentral lists this long non-coding RNA (640 nucleotides) under Oryza sativa Indica Group (long-grained rice). RNAcentral describes it as "lncRNA OsZS97_09G007250". The record is from RNAcentral. Lineage: Eukaryota; Viridiplantae; Streptophyta; Magnoliopsida; Poales; Poaceae.